AGAUUGAACGCUGGCGGCAUGCCUUACACAUGCAAGUCGAACGGUAGAGUAGCAAUACUUGAGAGUGGCGAACGGGUGAGUAAUAUAUCGGAACGUGCCCAGUCGUGGGGGAUAACGUAGAGAAAUUUACGCUAAUACCGCAUACGAUCUAAGGAUGAAAGCGGGGGACUCGCAAGAGCCUCGCGCGAUUGGAGCGGCUGAUAUCAGAUUAGGUUGUUGGUGAGGUAAAAGCUCACCAAGCCGACGAUCUGUAGCUGGUUUGAGAGAACGACCAGCCACACUGGGACUGAGACACGGCCCAGACUCCUACGGGAGGCAGCAGUGGGGAAUUUUGGACAAUGGGCGAAAGCCUGAUCCAGCAAUGCCGCGUGCAGGAAGAAGGCCUGGUUG
RNAcentral lists this ribosomal RNA (390 nucleotides) under uncultured soil bacterium. RNAcentral's name for it is "bacterial SSU rRNA". It matches the Rfam family "Bacterial small subunit ribosomal RNA", at positions 26 to 425 of the family's 1533-position model. The record is from RNAcentral.